This 332-nucleotide ribosomal RNA is filed under the name uncultured bacterium. RNAcentral describes it as "bacterial SSU rRNA". It matches the Rfam family "Bacterial small subunit ribosomal RNA", at positions 28 to 351 of the family's 1533-position model. The record is from RNAcentral.
GACUAACGCUGGCGGCGUGCCUAAUACAUGCAAGUCGAACGGUCAUGCAUUUGUAGCAAUAUGAGUGCAUGGUAGUGGCGAACGGGUGAGUAACACGUGGAUAACCUACCUUUAUGUGGGGGAUAACUCCGGGAAACUGGGGCUAAUACCGCAUGACAUCAUUCUGGGGCAUCUCAGGAUGAUCAAAGUCGUAAGACGCAAAAAGAUGGAUCCGCGUCCCAUCAGCUAGUUGGCGGGGUAAUGGCCCACCAAGGCUUUGACGGGUAGCCGGACUGAGAGGUCGAUCGGCCACAAGGGGACUGAGACACGGCCCCUACUCCUACGGGAGGCAG